AAAAAAUCCCCUCGUCCGAUCCCCAACCUUCCCCCGAUCCCGUCGCCGCUGCUGCCUACCCCGCCUCCUACCGGUGCGCUACCACUCCCGCCUCCUUCCGGCGCGCCGUCAUCCCCGCCUCCUACCGGCGCGCCGCCGGACCCUCCUUCUUCCCUGGAGCACCGCCACCCCGCUGCCCUCGCCAUCUUCCCGAGCGCGCCGCUGCCGCCGUCUUUCCCAGAGCGCCACAGCCCCGCCACCCCCGCCCACGGGACCAGUGGUCCCAUCGCCGGUCUCCCCCCACCCAGAUCUGCCGGAGGCGCACCGGAUCCUGCCUCACGGCCGGUUCCUGCGACUCGGCCGCCGCCCCAACCGCUGCAGCAGCCGAACACCUCCACUAGGUGCCCCGGCGGUUCGGACCCCCACCUGGCCCCUCCCUCGAACCCAGCGAGCCUCCGCCCCGACCUACUUCCCGCGCGAGGUCGCCUCCGCCUCCUCCUGGCGCACCGCCGCCCCCACCAUCUCCACCUCCGCCUCCGCCGAUGCCUCCUUCUCCACCUCCGUUCGCAAGCGAUGGCGGCCGUGGUCUUCACCCCCAGCCACCAUGGCUGCAGAUCCACCCACGGCCGGUCGUCUAAGCUUCAAGCAUGGAUGGAUGGAUUCAGGAAGGUAUCCUUCCUCCCUGGGUGGAGCGAGCUGCAGAUCCCGUCCGGCCCUCCGGAACCGGCCAUCUCCGCCUCCUCCUCGCCGCCGCCGCUGGGGAUCACGUCUUCACCAAACGCGAGCUCCGCCCCAUCCGACCGACCGCAAAGGGAGAUAGGACAUGGCGGAAACAAAACUGCACGGCGAUGUGCAUUUCUGCAACACAUCAGGUCUACAUUUUCCAUUGCCCUGGACUUAUGAACGGAAGAAAAAGCAAUAUGAAGUUCCUGUCUGCAUCAAACUGCUUUCACUUAUAUUCUGCCGAAUUUCUUCCUUCUAUGGGACUGUACAUGGGGAUUAUCUACAAGGGUUAUGUCCUUUGCAGGUAGAUUAUCUUAUAGGACGGGCGAAAUACAACAGAAGAAGCUCCUCCGCUGCUACUCGCCAAACUCCAAGCAAAAAGGACCUUCCACUUUCCUUGCUAAUGGGGCCUCAGUUUGUUCGGAAUCAGAUACAACCAUUUGAUCCAUUAUUGUUCGUGGGCAUCAUAUUUAAAAAAUAUAUUUUUUGGAUUUUGUAAAGUUUGCGGUUAAUAAGCCGGUGAGAGCUGAUGGUUCAGUUAGAUCCUGCAUUUACUUGACCUCUUUCUCUGUCAGGAGGAUAUUCAAUACCAAGAUUUAUGAUUUGGCAUAAGUGAGAUGACAUACAAGUGAGUUUAAUUCGUGAGAGUGAAAUAGCAACAGUUUAAUUAUCAUACCACCGGCAGCUGCACCUCAACUGCGGAAAAAGAAAUCUUGAAGAACCAAGACCACCACCAGCUGGAAGAAGUUUCAUGUAGCUAAUGCCAUCAUCUUUAUAAUAGAGCGGCAACAUACUCCGUAAGUUUUCACCCUACUCUAGGAAGCCAUUUCAUCAGUUUUUGGCUUCUGACACACUCGGAGCAACAAAUUUUGUGCUGCUAAUUGCACUGUCCUCUCUGUUCUCUCUCUUUGCACUUACUUGUGAUUUUUGCUUAUGUCCGCGUACAGAUUUCAUCCAGGAAAUUUAGUCCUAGGGACUUUGAUAUACAAUGAUACACCAAAGCAAGCAAAGAAGCCAAAAGAAGUUAAAUGUUUUUACCUGCUGCUGGCAUCCGAUGAGCAGUUGCAGGUGUCAACCAUAGUAUUGUUAUAUGAAGUGAGAGUUGCAUGUGCUUAUCUGAAGCUUAUACUAAUAAUUUGCCUCCCUAAUUGUGGCUGAUCUGGAGCUCAUACCCAUGUUGGACGAACCAUGGAGAUUGGAGAUGAAGAGCUGAUCGCCGCCCCUGUGUACCUAUUCUGAUUGGAGUUCUUAUUACAGUUACAUGAUCAUGUGACAGCAUGGCAUCGAACAACAUGGCCUUCACCUUAAUGCACCCCAAAGGUGGUCAUCGCCGAAGCACGCCAAGGGUGAGCCAUAACCAUACCGUUGACCCACCGGCGUGGUGAGGACAAAUUGCAUAGUAUCAUGUUUUUCAGUUAAAACCUGAGAACAGAAAGACGUAUCUAACACAGUAUGUAAAAUUUGUAAGCUCAUAUGAAAAUAGCUGAGAUCAAAUUAGGUAAGCACGUUCUUGCAAGCGAUGUAUUUUCUCACUUACGAGAAUUACCAGUUGCAUAUAUAAUAUACUGUAGUAGCCUAUAUUCAUGCACUCUCAUUUUUGCUGAACAAUUCAUGAUCAAUACUAGAUUUUUUUAAAGGAAGCCA
Molecule: RNA transcript, 2346 nt
Organism: Triticum dicoccoides
Lineage: Eukaryota; Viridiplantae; Streptophyta; Magnoliopsida; Poales; Poaceae
Exons: 8
Source: RefSeq, a predicted model, not a curated record